CCUACGGGAGGCAGCAGUGAGGAAUAUUGGUCAAUGGGCGAGAGCCUGAACCAGCCAAGUCGCGUGAAGGAUGACGGCCCUACGGGUUGUAAACUUCUUUUGUCAGGGAGCAAUUGGGUCCACGCGUGGGCUUAGCGAGAGUACCUGAAGAAAAAGCAUCGGCUAACUCCGUGCCAGCAGCCGCGGUAAUACGGAGGAUGCGAGCGUUAUCCGGAUUUAUUGGGGUUAAGGGGUGCGUAGGCGGAAUAUCAAGUCAGCGGUAAAAAUUCGGGGCUCAACCCCGUCGUGCCGUUGAAACUGAUGUUCUGGAGUGGGCGAGAAGUAUGCGGAAUGCGUGGUGUAGCGGUGAAAUGCAUAGAUAUCACGCAGAACUCCGAUUGCGAAGGCAGCAUACCGGCGCCCAACUGACGCUGAAGCACGAAAGCGUGGGUAUCGAACAGGAUUAGAUACCCCUGUAGUC
RNAcentral lists this ribosomal RNA (460 nucleotides) under uncultured bacterium. RNAcentral's name for it is "partial 16S ribosomal RNA". It matches the Rfam family "Bacterial small subunit ribosomal RNA", at positions 338 to 795 of the family's 1533-position model. The record is from RNAcentral.